CAAAGGCUUGGUCCUGACUUUAUCAUCAGCUUCAGCCGAACUUACACAUGCAAGUAUCCGCACCCCUGUGAGAAUGCCCUCAGUUCCCUGCCUGGGAACAAGGAGCUGGUAUCAGGCACAAUUUUAGCCCAUGACACCUUGUUUAGCCACACCCUUAAGGGAACUCAGCAGUGAUAGAUAUUAAGCCAUAAGUGAAAACUUGACUUAGUAAAAGCUAAGAGGGCCGGUAAAACUCGUGCCAGCCACCGCGGUUAUACGAGAGGCCCAAGUUGAUUAUUCACGGCGUAAAGAGUGGUUAGGGAACAAAUAGUACUAAAGCCGAAUGUUUUCAAAGCUGUUAUACGCAUCCGAAAACAAGAAGUUCAAUCACGAAAGUAGCUUUACUAAACCCUGAACCCACGAAAGCUAGGGAACAAACUGGGAUUAGAGACCCCACUAUGCCUAGCCGUAAACAUUGAUAGACCAAUACAACCCCUAUCCGCCCGGGAACUACGAGCACCAGCUUAAAACCCAAAGGACUUGGCGGUGCUUUAGAUCCUACUAGAGGAGCCUGUUCUAGAACCGAUAACCCCCGUUCAACCUCACCUUUCCUUGUUUUUCCCGCCUAUAUACCGCCGUCGUCAGCCCACCCUAUGAAGGUUUAAAAGUAGGCUAAAUUGGCAUAGCCCAGCACGUCAGGCCGAGGUGUAGCGUAUGGAAAGGGAAGAAAUGGGCUACAUUCCCUAAUUUAGGGCACACGAAUGAUAUGCUGAAACGCACAUCUUGAAGGAGGAUUUAGCAGUAAGUAGGAAGUAGAGCGUCCUGCUGAAAUUGGCUCUGAAGCGCGCACAUACCGCCCGUCACUCUCCCCGAAAAAUUUCACCCUAAUUAUAUAAAACCUUAGAGCAAAAGAGGGGAGGCAAGUCGUAACAUGGUAAGUGUACCGGAAGGUGCACUUGGAUCAAUAAU
Molecule: non-coding RNA, 948 nt
Filed under: Notothenia coriiceps (black rockcod)
Lineage: Eukaryota; Metazoa; Chordata; Actinopteri; Perciformes; Nototheniidae
Description: 12S ribosomal RNA
Rfam family: Bacterial small subunit ribosomal RNA
Source: RNAcentral